RNAcentral lists this ribosomal RNA (468 nucleotides) under uncultured bacterium. RNAcentral describes it as "partial 16S ribosomal RNA". It matches the Rfam family "Bacterial small subunit ribosomal RNA", at positions 28 to 507 of the family's 1533-position model. The record is from RNAcentral.
GACGAACGCUGGCGGCGUGCUUAACACAUGCAAGUCGAACGGAAAGGCCCUGCUUUUGUGGGGUGCUCGAGUGGCGAACGGGUGAGUAGCACGUGAGUAACCUGCCCUUGACUUUGGGAUAACUUCAGGAAACUGGGGCUAAUACCGGAUAGGAGCUCCUGCUGCAUGGUGGGGGUUGGAAAGUUUCGGCGGCUGGGGAUGGACUCGCGGCUUAUCAGCUUGUUGGUGGGGUAGUGGCUUACCAAGGCUUUGACGGGUAGCCGGCCUGAGAGGGUGACCGGCCACAUUGGGACUGAGAUACGGCCCAGACUCCUACGGGAGGCAGCAGUGGGGAAUAUUGCACAAUGGGCGGAAGCCUGAUGCAGCAACGCCGCGUGCGGGAUGACGGCCUUCGGGUUGUAAACCGCUUUCGCCUGUGACGAAGCGUGAGUGACGGUAAUGGGUAAAGAAGCACCGGCUAACUACGUG